GGACCCGCACAAGUAGUGGAGCAUGUGGUUUAAUUCGAAGAUACGCGCAGAACCUUACCAACACUUGACAUGUUCGUCGCGACUCUAAGAGAUUAGAGUUUUCGGUUCGGCCGGACGAAACACAGGUGCUGCAUGGCUGUCGUCAGCUCGUGUCGUGAGAUGUUGGGUUAAGUCCCGCAACGAGCGCAACCCUCACUUUUAGUUGCCAUCAUUAAGUUGGGCACUCUGAAAGAACUGCCAGUGAUAAGCUGGAGGAAGGUGGGGAUGACGUCAAGUCCUCAUGGCCCUUACGUGUUGGGCUACACACGUGCUACAAUGGUGGUGACAGUGGGUUAAUCCCCAAAAGCCAUCUCAGUUCGGAUUGGAGUCUGCAACUCGACUCCAUGAAGCUGGAGUU
RNAcentral lists this ribosomal RNA (397 nucleotides) under uncultured bacterium. RNAcentral describes it as "bacterial SSU rRNA". It matches the Rfam family "Bacterial small subunit ribosomal RNA", at positions 917 to 1333 of the family's 1533-position model. The record is from RNAcentral.